AGCCCGGUAGUUGAAAUAGCUUUCCCUCCAGAGUGGAUCCUGAGUACGGCGGAACACGUGAAAUUCCGUCGGAAUCCGGGAGGACCAUCUCCCAAGGCUAAAUACUCCCUAGUGACCGAUAGUGAACCAGUACCGUGAGGGAAAGGUGAAAAGCACCCCGGAAGGGGAGUGAAACAGUUCCUGAAACCGUGUGCCUACAAGUAGUUAGAGCCCGUUAAUGGGUGAUAGCGUGCCUUUUGUAGAAUGAACCGGCGAGUUACGAUUUGUUGCAAGGUUAAGCGGAAAAAGCGGAGCCGUAGCGAAAGCGAGUCUGAAUAGGGCGCAUAAGUAACAGGUCGUAGACCCGAAACCAGGUGAUCUACCCAUGUCCAGGAUGAAGGUAAGGUAAUACUUACUGGAGGUCCGAACCCACGCACGUUGAAAAGUGCGGGGAUGAGGUGUGGGUAGCGGAGAAAUUCCAAUCGAACUUGGAGAUAGCUGGUUCUCUCCGAAAUAGCUUUAGGGCUAGCCUCGAGGUAAAGAGUCAUGGAGGUAGAGCACUGUUUGGACUAGGGGCCCUUCUCGGGUUACCGAAUUCAGAUAAACUCCGAAUGCCAUGUACUUAUACUCGGGAGUCAGACUGCGAGUGAUAAGAUCCGUAGUCGAAAGGGAAACAGCCCAGACCACCAGUUAAGGUCCCCAAAUAUAUGUUAAGUGGAAAAGGAUGUGGGGUUGCUUAGACAACCAGGAUGUUGGCUUAGAAGCAGCCACCAUUGAAAGAGUGCGUAAUAGCUCACUGGUCGAGUGACCCCGCGCCGAAAAUGUACCGGGGCUAAACAUAUUACCGAAACUGUGGAUGAACCUCUUCGGAGGUUCGUGGUAGGAGAGCGUUCUAAGGGCGGUGAAGUCAGACCGGAAGGACUGGUGGAGCGCUUAGAAGUGAGAAUGCCGGUAUGAGUAGCGAAAGAAGGGUGAGAAUCCCUUCCACCGAAUAUCUAAGGUUUCCUGAGGAAGGCUCGUCCGCUCAGGGUUAGUCGGGACCUAAGCCGAGGCCGAUAGGCGUAGGCGAUGGACAACAGGUAGAGAUUCCUGUACCAGUGCUAAUUGUUUAACCGAUGGGGUGACACAGAAGGAUAGGGAAUCGCACGAAUGGAAAUGUGCGUCCAAGCAGUGAGUGUGAGAAGUAGGCAAAUCCGCUUCUCGCGAAGCAUGAGCUGUGAUGGGGAAGGAAAUAAAGUACGGAAGUUCCUGAUUUCACGCUGUCAAGAAAAGCCUCUAGGAAGAGUAGUACUGCCCGUACCGCAAACCGACACAGGUAGAUGAGGAGAGAAUCCUAAGGUGAGCGAGAGAACUCUCGUUAAGGAACUCGGCAAAAUGACCCCGUAACUUCGGGAGAAGGGGUGCUCUAUUAGGGUGCAAGCCCGAGAGAGCCGCAGUGAAUAGGCCCAGGCGACUGUUUAGCAAAAACACAGGUCUCUGCAAAACCGUAAGGUGACGUAUAGGGGCUGACGCCUGCCCGGUGCUGGAAGGUUAAGAGGAGUGCUUAGCUUCGGCGAAGGUACGAAUUGAAGCCCCAGUAAACGGCGGCCGUAACUAUAACGGUCCUAAGGUAGCGAAAUUCCUUGUCGGGUAAGUUCCGACCCGCACGAAAGGCGCAACGAUCUGGGCACUGUCUCAACGAGAGACUCGGUGAAAUUAUAGUACCUGUGAAGAUGCAGGUUACCCGCGACAGGACGGAAAGACCCCGUGGAGCUUUACUGCAACCUGAUAUGGAAUGUUUGUACCGCUUGUACAGGAUAGGUAGGAGCCGAAGAGACGUGUGCGCUAGCAUACGAGGAGGCAAUGGUGGGAUACUACCCUGGCUGUAUGACCAUUCUAACCCGCCACGCUUAGCGCGUGGGGAGACAGUGUCAGGUGGGCAGUUUGACUGGGGCGGUCGCCUCCUAAAGAGUAACGGAGGCGCCCAAAGGUUCCCUCAGAAUGGAUGGAAAUCAUUCGCAGAGUGUAAAGGCACAAGGGAGCUUGACUGCGAGACUGACAAGUCGAGCAGGGACGAAAGUCGGGCUUAGUGAUCCGGUGGUUCCGCAUGGAAGGGCCAUCGCUCAACGGAUAAAAGCUACCCCGGGGAUAACAGGCUUAUCUCCCCCAAGAGUCCACAUCGACGGGGAGGUUUGGCACCUCGAUGUCGGCUCGUCGCAUCCUGGGGCUGUAGUCGGUCCCAAGGGUUGGGCUGUUCGCCCAUUAAAGCGGCACGCGAGCUGGGUUCAGAACGUCGUGAGACAGUUCGGUCCCUAUCCGUCGCGGGCGCAGGAAAUUUGAGAGGAGCUGUCCUUAGUACGAGAGGACCGGGAUGGACACACCGCUGGUGUACCAGUUGUUCCGCCAGGAGCAUCGCUGGGUAGCUAUGUGUGGCAGGGAUAAACGCUGAAAGCAUCUAAGCGUGAAGCCCCCCUCAAGAUGAGAUUUCCCAUUUCUUCGGAAAGUAAGAUCCCUGAAAGAUGAUCAGGUAGAUAGGUUUGGAGUGGAAGUGUAGCGAUACAUGGAGCGGACAAAUACUAAUCGAUCGAGGACUUAACCAAAA
This 2560-nucleotide ribosomal RNA is filed under the name Listeria welshimeri. Its description in RNAcentral is "partial 23S ribosomal RNA". It matches the Rfam family "Bacterial large subunit ribosomal RNA", at positions 369 to 2925 of the family's 2925-position model. Lineage: Bacteria; Bacillati; Bacillota; Bacilli; Caryophanales; Listeriaceae. The record is from RNAcentral.